UGGGGAAUAUUGGACAAUGGGCGCAAGCCUGAUCCAGCCAUGCCGCGUGAGUGAUGAAGGCCCUAGGGUUGUAAAGCUCUUUCACCGGUGAAGAUAAUGACGGUAACCGGAGAAGAAGCCCCGGCUAACUUCGUGCCAGCAGCCGCGGUAAUACGAAGGGGGCUAGCGUUGUUCGGAUUUACUGGGCGUAAAGCGCACGUAGGCGGACUUUUAAGUCAGGGGUGAAAUCCCGGGGCUCAACCCCGGAACUGCCUUUGAUACUGGAAGUCUUGAGUAUGGUAGAGGUGAGUGGAAUUCCGAGUGUAGGGGUGAAAUUCGUAGAUAUUCGGAGGAACCCCAGUGGCGAAGGCGGCUCACUGGACCAUUACUGACGCUGAGGUGCGAAAGCGUGGGGAGCAAACAGG
This 404-nucleotide ribosomal RNA is filed under the name Actinomycetes bacterium. RNAcentral's name for it is "Actinobacteria bacterium partial 16S ribosomal RNA". It matches the Rfam family "Bacterial small subunit ribosomal RNA", at positions 355 to 776 of the family's 1533-position model. Lineage: Bacteria; Bacillati; Actinomycetota; Actinomycetes. The record is from RNAcentral.